RNAcentral lists this ribosomal RNA (247 nucleotides) under uncultured bacterium. RNAcentral describes it as "partial 16S ribosomal RNA". It matches the Rfam family "Bacterial small subunit ribosomal RNA", at positions 107 to 354 of the family's 1533-position model. The record is from RNAcentral.
UGAGUAACGCGUGAGGAACCUGCCUUCCAGAGGGGGACAACAGUUGGAAACGACUGCUAAUACCGCAUGAUACAUUUGAAUCGCAUGGUUUGAAUGUCAAAGAUUUAUCGCUGGAAGAUGGCCUCGCGUCUGAUUAGCUAGUUGGUGAGGUAACGGCCCACCAAGGCGACGAUCAGUAGCCGGACUGAGAGGUUGGCCGGCCACAUUGGGACUGAGAUACGGCCCAGACUCCUACGGGAGGCAGCAG